AGUGAACGCUGGCGGUAGGCCUAACACAUGCAAGUCGAACGGCAGCACAGUAAGAGCUUGCUCUUACGGGUGGCGAGUGGCGGACGGGUGAGGAAUACAUCGGAAUCUACUUUUUCGUGGGGGAUAACGUAGGGAAACUUACGCUAAUACCGCAUACGACCUACGGGUGAAAGCAGGGGAUCUUCGGACCUUGCGCGAUUGAAUGAGCCGAUGUCGGAUGAGCUAGUUGGCGGGGUAAAGGCCCACCAAGGCGACGAUCCGUAGCUGGUCUGAGAGGAUGAUCAGCCACACUGGAACUGAGACACGGUCCAGACUCCUACGGGAGGCAGCAGUGGGGAAUAUUGGACAAUGGGCGCAAGCCUGCUCCAGCCAUACCGCGUGGGUGAAGAAGGCCUUCGGGUUUUAAAGCCCUUUUGUUGGGAAAGAAAAGCAGCAGGUUAAUACCCCGCUGUUCUGACGGUACCCAAAGAAUAAGCACCGGCUAACUUCGUG
RNAcentral lists this ribosomal RNA (492 nucleotides) under uncultured bacterium. RNAcentral's name for it is "partial 16S ribosomal RNA". It matches the Rfam family "Bacterial small subunit ribosomal RNA", at positions 29 to 507 of the family's 1533-position model. The record is from RNAcentral.